UACAUAGGAUGCAAGCGUUGUCCGGAAUUAUUGGGCGUAAAGAGCUCGUAGGUCGUUUGCCGCGUCAAUGGUGAAAAUCUGAGGCUCAACCUCAGACCUGCCGUCGAUACGGCCAAACUAGAGUGUGGUAGAGGAGACUGGAAUUCCUGGUGUAGCGGUGAAAUGCGCAGAUAUCACGAGGAACACCAAUGGCGAAGGCAGGUCUCUGGGCCAUAACUGACACUGAGGAGCGAAAGCGCGGGGAGCGAACAGGAUUAGAUACCCUGGUAGUCCGCGCCGUAAACGAUGGUCACUAGCUGUGAGAGCCUUCCACGGUUCUCGCGACGCAACAAACGCAUUAAGUGCCCCGCCUGGGGAGUACGAUCGCAAGAUUAAACCUCAAAGGAAUUGACGGCGCCCCGCACAAGCAGCGCAGCAUGCGGAUUAAUUUGACGCACCGCGAAGAACCUUACCAAGGCAAGACAUAUAGCGAAAAGUGGCAGAGAUGUCAUGUCCGCAAGGGCGCUACACAGGUGGUCCAUGGUUGUCCUCAGCUCGUGUCGUGAGAUGCUGGGUUAAGUCCCGCACCGAGCCCAACCCUCUUUCUGUGUUCCCAGCAUUCAGUCGGGGACUCACAGGAGGCUGCCCGGGUCAACUCGGAGGAAGGUGGGGAAGGCGUCAAAUCCUCCUCCCCCUUAUGUCUCGGGCUGCCCCCAUGCUACCAUGGCCGGUACAAAGUGGUGCGAACUCGUAAGAUUGAGCGAAUCACAUAAAGCCGGUCUCAGUUCGGAUUGAGGUCUGCAACUCGACUUCAUGAAGUCGGAGUUGUUAGUAAUCGUAGAUCAGCCACGAUACGGUGAAUACGUUCCCGGGGCU
Molecule: ribosomal RNA, 855 nt
Filed under: uncultured bacterium
Lineage: Bacteria
Description: bacterial SSU rRNA
Rfam family: Bacterial small subunit ribosomal RNA
Source: RNAcentral